Molecule: ribosomal RNA, 405 nt
Filed under: Staphylococcus aureus
Lineage: Bacteria; Bacillati; Bacillota; Bacilli; Caryophanales; Staphylococcaceae
Description: partial 23S ribosomal RNA
Rfam family: Bacterial large subunit ribosomal RNA
Source: RNAcentral
GUCGCCUCCUAAAAGGUAACGGAGGCGCUCAAAGGUUCCCUCAGAAUGGUUGGAAAUCAUUCAUAGAGUGUAAAGGCAUAAGGGAGCUUGACUGCGAGACCUACAAGUCGAGCAGGGUCGAAAGACGGACUUAGUGAUCCGGUGGUUCCGCAUGGAAGGGCCAUCGCUCAACGGAUAAAAGCUACCCCGGGGAUAACAGGCUUAUCUCCCCCAAGAGUUCACAUCGACGGGGAGGUUUGGCACCUCGAUGUCGGCUCAUCGCAUCCUGGGGCUGUAGUCGGUCCCAAGGGUUGGGCUGUUCGCCCAUUAAAGCGGUACGCGAGCUGGGUUCAGAACGUCGUGAGACAGUUCGGUCCCUAUCCGUCGUGGGCGUAGGAAAUUUGAGAGGAGCUGUCCUUAGUACGA